AGGACAGCUCUGACUCGGGCGGGCAGAGGGACGGUGGCAGAACCUGCGGGCUAGUUGGGAGGCUCACCCUCUGGGAGGAAGGGAAGCGGAGACAGCCGCUGCCGAGGAGCGAGGAGACGCCUGGAGGCCGAGGGUCAGGCUGCCGCUACCUCCUCCAGCAGCGGACACCGCAGAGAUAGCGCAGCCGGCGGGCGCACCGGCCACCAACGGCGACCCUUCGCGCAGGUGGCAGUGUAGAAGCCAAGACGGGAGCUUCCAGAAGUACUUUCAGAAAAAUAAGAGUGAACCUCAGUACGCAAACACAGGGAUCUGAAAAACCACAGAUGGAGAAACUGAGUCCUAAAAGGUUGCAACAUCCUUGAAGUUAUGCAGAGAACUAAAAUAGCAUAUGGCUUAUCUACGAGGUAAAGAUGGGAAUUGCUUCUGCUUGAUUGGCACCCUCUUGAAGAGAAAUACUUUUGCUCAGCUUGGUGAGUGUUGACCUUCUGAUUACAUCACUGAAGAUUUUUUUUUUAAUGUUAAACCUGUAUUGGAAAAAAUACAUAUCUUGCUUUUAAAAUGGAAGCUCUCAGCAGCAUUUAGAUCAAUCCAUAUGUUAUGGUUUAGGCCAAAUUAGCCAGCCAAUUUCAGAGCUGUUGUUUGGAAAGCUUUGGUAUACAUUCAUUAGAAAUUUCUGUCAAAUCACAGCUUGUAGAAGUUAUUUCCAAAUGUCCUUUUCCUUGCUGGUUAAAUGAAGGCUGCUUCUCUGAGGAAGAGGUCAUAUGCUCCUUAAUGGGGCCAGCCAUCCUUCCCUGGUGCUCCCUAUGCUUGUCUACCUGUCACCUGCUCUCAAGCAUGGUGCUCCCUGGGUACUUACUGAUGGCAUCCUUUCCAGUGCCCCUCUGUUCCCAAGCACCUGCACACCCUCCUUGAGGGCACAGAACCUGGGGGUUCAGGGCCAGGUGGAGAACCCCACUGGGCACCUCUGUCCUCCCAUCUACCACUAAAGAGCUACAGUGAGCAGAUCGCCUGACUGGAAAGCUUUCCUGGGGUUCCACUCUGCACUCAGGGUAGAGAAUUCUUGCUGUAAUGAGUGAUGGAGUCAUUUCUUUGGGGAAGAAACUCAGAAAGUGACAUGGAUGAUACAUACCUCUACUUGGGUUCUGUGUUUGAGGUCAAAGAAGACUGUGAGAAACUUUCUUAUACUUUCUCAUAGGUCUUCAUUUGUUAAAAUAGCUAUUAUGUGCUAGGCUCUGAAAUAAUAUGGACAGAUUUAAUCUUUACUGUGAUACUGUGAGGGAGAGAUUAUUGGCCUUAUUUUAAAUAUGAGGCCAUAGAUAUUGGGGCUUCCCAGGGGUGCUAGUGGUAACGAACCCACCUGUCAAUGCAGGGGACAUAAGAGACGUGGGUUCGAUCCCCGGGUCGGGAAAAUCCCCUGGAGAAGGGCAUGGCAAUCUACUCCAAUAUUCUUGCCUCCUGGACAGAGGAGCUGGCUGGCUACAGUCCACAGGGUCACAAAGAGUCAGACACAACUUAAGUGACUUAGCACGAAUGUACACAUAGAUACUUAAGAGUGGCAUUCAAAUCAUUUGCCUCAAAUCACAUACAUAGUAAACAAUAAAAGGUAUCCUCACUUGUUUGAUUUCACCAAAUCAUACCAAGAAAAAAAUAAAAAUGAAUGUCUGGUUUGCUAUUUCCUCCCUUCCUUGUAUAUCACUGAAUAACAAAAUAGUGACUUUUCAGGGCAUAUAUUUUUAGUUUGAAAGAAUUUGUGUUUAAUAUUAAGACUAUCUCUUUAUUCCAAAGAGCACGUUUUUUGCUGUCCCACUAUAUGUCAGACUCCGUACUAGGUGCUCUGGAUACAGCAGUGAACAUAUAUCAAAAUAAGGGGUAUUUUUUGUCAAGUCCUGAGAUUAAAAACAGGAAGCUUUGUGUGUGUUUCAUCUUGUCCUUUCUUCUAUCAAGGCAUUGAAACAUAGAGCCCAAGAUCAGUCGUCAUCAUUUUUCCAUUGAUUCACAGAAUUACUGAACUAACAAGGUACUCCUGAGGUUACUACACCAGCUCCUGAGGUGUGAGGGAAAUGUGAACUAAACCAUUCUAUUAUUAAUAACUUUCAAGGAGGGAGAUUCCAUUAAGCCUUUGUGGUAGUUCCUACUUUAGACUUUUACAGCCUGUUGUGAUGAUGAUAAAUUAUUUCUGCCCCAUAAGAAUUGGCAAGUAUGAAUCUGAAUUUUUAAGGUGAAUACAUUAAGAAAUUUUAAAAAAUCUUAAAUUCUAUACCUUUAACCAAAAUAAACACCUUUAGACAUUUUGGGAUGAUGAGCAGAGAGCCUAGAUGCAUGGUCACAUACCUGUUUUUCUAUAGCUGUGGCCUGAAUCCUACACAUUCUGAGAUAAAGCGAGAAGCUUUGUGACUGUCUGACAGUUCCUCCUGCUUUUCUGUCAGAAACUCUGUGUUCUGUUUACCCCACUUCUCAAUCUGGUAUAGAUGCUUCUGGAAACAUCUCUUUUAGUAGUUAUCUUUGCCACUUCAUAGGUAAGUUGACCUUUUUUUUUUUCUUACAGAAGGCUCUUUGCUUCAUGUAGAAUUGUACACCUAUUUUAAUCCUUAUCAUUAUGGUUAAAAGACCUCCUGAUACAGUAGAAUUCUCAGUUCAUGGACUAUAGCCUUGAGCCUGUUUUAUUAAACUCUCAUGUGGUAACUUACCACGUGCAAAGCUUCAGUGAUGACCACUUUUCACCUCAAGUCUCAUAUUCCAUGAUUUAGUUUAUCCCUUGAAAGUACAAGGGAAAACCAGAGCCCCUUUAAAUACUUCCAUCAUGAGAGCACCAGUUGUAGGGGAAACAUCUCCCCAAAGUGUAACUUAUUAAACUUUCAUGAAAGUUUCCCAUUUAAAAUGUCACAUUGAUAAGUCUCUGAGAUAAAACUAGAAGCUUUAUCUGUGCACAUUUCAUCUUGUUCUUUCUUCAUCAGCAAGCUGUUGAAAUAGAUCCUACAGGCAUUCAUUCUCUACCCUGCAGAACUAUCCAGUUUACUGAGUAGAGGGCUCCUGCUCUCUGGAGUAUGUCAUGCUGGUGCAUGUUUCAGGGCCUUGGUGGCUGUGGUGCUACCUCUUUGCAGUAUCUGGGCCAUGCUUGGCUUGAAUUACCUUACAGCGGCUCUUUCAUCCUGGUCCAAGAAAGGACUCAUGGCAAAAACUGUUAUUCCUUUCAAUGUCCAGCUUUUUGUCUAGCUCCUUAGUAUACUAAAUGUGACAUUCUUCUCCAUGUACCUAAGAUUGUGCUUCACAUUAGGGACAAAAGCAGUCUGGGUUGCAGACUUAAACAACAUGCAGUUUCACUCAAUCAGUGAAAGAUCGCAUUUGCUCAGUCACUUCAGCCAUGUCCAACUCUGCGACCCUAUGGACUGUAGCCCCUAGGCUCCUCUGUCCAUGGGAUUCUCCAGGUGAGUGUACUGGAGUGGGUUGCCAUGCCCUCCUCCAGGGAUCUUCCCAACCCAGGAAUCAAACCCACAUCUUUUAUGUCUCCUACAUUGGCAGGUGGGUUCUUUACCACUAGCGCCACCUGGGAAGCCCUCACAUUUGAUAAUUCCCCAGUUUUUCAAGGUGAAACUUUUCCACUGAGAUCACUAUGACAGUUGUGUUAAUGCUGGUGGGUUUGUAUUUUGGGAAAACUUUAAGUUAAUAUAUUUAUACUCAUUAUGUUAUUUCUUAUUAAUUUAAUGCUCAUUUUCAUUUUAGUUACCUAUGUAAUUAUUGAAUAUCCAGACUCCCCACUGAAGUUCAAAUUCCAUGAUGAUGGAAACUGUUGUCACAUUGACUCAUAUAUGUAUAGUAGCUGUAUAUAUAUAAACAGUCAAUACUUGUUUUUAUGUGUAAGGUAAAGAACACUGGUGGGGACCUGGAAUUUGGGCCCCAAUCCCAUUUUUGCCUCAACAGCGUAGGCGACCUUGGGCCAGCUACUUCCCAUAACUGGACUUCAGUCUCUUCAUCUGUGAAAUAAGGCCAUAGGAAGGGGGAUUCAUGCAGUCACUUUCAGCUUUAUGAGUCUCAGUGUGUGAGUCUGACUAAAUGGAGGAAGAAUUGCAGCCAGUCCGUUGAAUGCCACGACUUUCUUUCCAAACCCCGGCUGAUUCCAUUGAAGUGCCCUGCCCUGGGCUGGGAAGGGCUGGCCCAGGGCCUUCCUCAGGAGCCCAGGCCAGAACCCGUCACCUCCUUUGGGACAUCCGGGAGCAGUGUUUUCCACACUUUUCCUGUUGCAGCCCCGUUCUCCUCAAAAUAAUAAAAGAAUUAAAAAGACUUCUGCUUCUUUGUGGGCAGAAGCCAUGUCAACCUUAACCUAUGCCUGGCUGUUUGCUGCAGCUAAGAUGGAGGAAUCCCAGGAGGUGGUUCAGUGGGCAGUUGCUCUGGUGGGAGAGGAGGGUGGAGACACUGGCCUUCCCCUGCUGACUGGACUUAGAAUUGACUUCAGCCUCCACUCCUAUGUCCCAUCCCCUGCCCUACCUCCAGCACCACAGUUUCUAGCCACCUUGUAAUACUUCAGAUCCUCUGCCUGGCCAGGUAAUAGGGAUUCAGAUGACUGUAGUAAGUACAGUGGUGUGUGACAGACCAGUCUCAGAAGCUAGGAGCCUGAAAUUUACCAUAUCAAAACCCCUCCCCUGAGCCUCUUAUAUAUUCCCCCUUCCCCUCCCCUUAUCUGAUUUACUGCCAAGAAGAUUGGAGCCCUCUCUGUGACAGUUUGGAAAGUCCUGGAUCAAAUGGUCUCUUCUCUAAUGCAAGGGGAAUCAAAUUUGAGAAUUCAACAAAAAAUUAUACCAAUUCCUGG
Bos indicus x Bos taurus (hybrid cattle) is the source of this 4804-nucleotide long non-coding RNA. The record is from Ensembl. Lineage: Eukaryota; Metazoa; Chordata; Mammalia; Artiodactyla; Bovidae.